UUCCAUUGAAUAUUCAAGGUUGAUUUCCUUUAGGAUUGACUGGUUUGAUCUCCUUGCUAUCCAAGGGACUCUCAAGAGUCUACUCCAGCACCACAGUUUGAAAGCAUCAAUUAUUUGGCAUUCAGCCUAGAAAGAGUAAAGGUGAAGGGAAACAACUUUGUAUACAAGAUAUACCAAAAAAAAGAAAAAAUGUUUACCAUCUUUUCCCAUAGGCAGGAACUUCGGUGGAUGAUCUAGACCAAGUACUAAUCCUCCUCAACUAGAAACAUCAGCAGUGGCUUAACUCUUAACACAUAAUAAAUAUUUAGAUCAUCCUUCUGUGAGUUGUUCAGUGAUUUGGGGAGGGAUUCAGAACAUCUAAUCCAAAGUAAAAUAAUUGCAGUGAUUUUUAUGGGAAUCUUGAGUUUAAUUACUGAUGUUCUUAAAAAGGGUUAUAUGCUUUUUGGCAAUUAUUAUAAGUGUCCUGAGGAAUAAAUGUGUAAUUAUAGAAAGCUGCUACAUCCUUAUUUAAGAACAUUCAAGGACAUAAUAACACCUAAAAUCUAGACAGUUGCCUUCAUCUCAAAUGUAUACAAACUUCCUGCAUGCACUAUUUUAGUUUCCAUUUCUCACUCUCACUGAUAAGAAUACUCUCCACAGUUUUAGCAGGAAGGUGGCACCGGUGGAACGGUUUUUCACCUAAGCAAGUGA
Molecule: long non-coding RNA, 690 nt
Organism: Bubalus bubalis (water buffalo)
Lineage: Eukaryota; Metazoa; Chordata; Mammalia; Artiodactyla; Bovidae
Exons: 3
Source: RefSeq, a predicted model, not a curated record